AACGAACGCUGGCGGCAUGCCUAACACAUGCAAGUCGAACGAGACCUUCGGGUUUAGUGGCGCACGGGUGCGUAACGCGUGGGAACCUGCCCUUAAGUUCGGAAUAACUUCCCGAAAGGGGUGCUAAUACCGGAUAAUGUCCUCGGACCAAAGAUUUUUCGCCUUUGGAUGGGCCCGCGUUGGAUUAGUUAGUUGUUAGGGUAAAAGCAUGCCAAGGCGACGAUCCAUAGCUGGUUGGAGAGGCUGAUCAGCCACACUGGGACUGGGACACGGCCCAGACUCCUACGGGAGGCAGGAAUGGGUGAUAUUGGAGAGUGGGCGAAAGCCUGAUCCAGCAAUGCCGGGAGAGUGAUGAAGGCCUUGGGGUUGUAAAGCUCUUUUACCCGGGAUUAUAAUGACAGUACCGGGAGAAUAAGCACCGGCUAACUCCGUG
Molecule: ribosomal RNA, 433 nt
Filed under: uncultured bacterium
Lineage: Bacteria
Description: partial 16S ribosomal RNA
Rfam family: Bacterial small subunit ribosomal RNA
Source: RNAcentral